CAAUAGCGUAUAUUAAAGUUGUUGUGGUUAAAAAGCUCGUAGUUGAACCUUGGGCCUGGCCGUCCGGUCCGCCUCACCGCGUGUACUGGCUCGGCCGGGCCUUUCCCUCUGUGGAACCCCAUGCCCUUCACUGGGCGUGGCGGGGAAACAGGACUUUUACUGUGAAAAAAUUAGAGUGCUCCAGGCAGGCCUGUGCUCGAAUACAUUAGCAUGGAAUAAUAGAAUAGGACGUGUGGUUCUAUUUUGUUGGUUUCUAGGACCGCCGUAAUGAUUAAUAGGGACAGUCGGGGGCAUCAGUAUUCAAUUGUCAGAGGUGAAAUUCUUGGAUUUAUUGAAGACUAACUACUGCGAAAGCAUUUGCCAAGGAUGUUUUCAUUAA
RNAcentral lists this ribosomal RNA (379 nucleotides) under uncultured eukaryote. RNAcentral describes it as "partial 18S ribosomal RNA". It matches the Rfam family "Eukaryotic small subunit ribosomal RNA", at positions 592 to 976 of the family's 1831-position model. The record is from RNAcentral.